UCUAGAGCUAAUACAUGCACUUGUGCGUCAGGGGGGCGACUUCCUGGCGUUGGCAUUUAUUGGAUAGUUACCAACCGCAAUUUGCGUGGUGAAUCUAGAUAACUUUGCAGAUCGUAUGGCCUAGAGCCGGCGACGUUUCGAUUGAAUUUCUGCCCUAUCAACUUUUGUCGGUAGUGUAGUGGACUACCGAGGUUUUUACGGGUGACGGGGAAUCAGGGUUCGAUUCCGGAGAGGGAGCCUGAGAAACGGCUACCACAUCCAAGGAAGGCAGCAGGCGCGCAAAUUACCCAAUCCAGACAAUGGGAGGUGGUGACGAGAAGUACCGGAUGACGGCCAAUGGUUGUCAAUCUGGAAUGGAAUCAAUUUAAGCAAUUGGUUGAGAAACUACUGGAGGGCAAGUCUGGUGCCAGCAGCCGCGGUAAUUCCAGCUCCAGUAGCGUACCUCAAAGUUGCUGCGCUUAAAACGCUCGUAGUUGGAUCACAGACUGUCCGCUGGUGGGUGUUUGCUCGGGUUCCAAGGUUGGGGACGUGUCGGUGUGUCAUCAUGCCGAUAUGGACCUACGUGGGGUCGAGUGGGCACCGUAAGCCGGUGGACAGUAAUUGCACGUGAGGAUGUGCGUCGGCCUUGAGUGUGCUGACGUGUGUGUCUCACGGAGUGUGCCUUGAGUAAAUCAGAGUGCUUAAAGCAGGCUUUACGCUUGAAUGUUUUAGCAUGGAACGAACAAUAGUGUAUGGUGUAUGCUGGAUAUCGUGGGGGGUGCCUCGGUGCCCCGUGCGUCAGUGUACGACACCGACCUUCAAUUACGGAUGUUGGUUCCGUAUUGGGGUACUGAUUAAGAGGAGCGGUUGGGGGCAUUGGUAUUCGGCAGCGAGAGGUGAAAUUCUUGGACCUGCCGAGGACUAACAAAUGCGAAGGCAUCUGUCCAGACCGUGUCCAUUAAUCAAGAACGAUAGUGAGAGGUUCGAAGACGAUCAGAUACCGUCCUAGUUCUCACCGUAAACUAUGCCGACCCGGGAUGAGUUUGGAGCGAGAUUAUAUGCUCGAGGUUGGUCCCCCUGGGAAACCUAAAGUUUUUCGGUUGCGGGGGGAGUAUGGUCGCAAGGCUGAAACUUAAAGGAAUUGACGGAAGGGCACCACCAGGGGUGGAGCCUGCGGCUUAAUUUGACUCAACACGGGAAAACUUACCUGGUCCGAACAUCCGAAGGAUGCACAGACUGAUAGAUCUUUGCUGAUGGGGUGAAAAGUGGUGCAUGGCCGUUCUUAGUUCGUGGAGUGAUCUGUCAGAUUUAUUUCGGUAACGAACGAGACUACCCUCUCAACUUGACGACUCAGAGAAGGGUCGGCCAAGUCGCGGCCGGCAACGGUUGCGUUUUGAGUUUGGUCCGGUGGCGUGUGCUUGUGUGGUGCGUUAAGCCCGUGGUGCAAGCUGCGGAAACUGGCGUAUCGUGCGAGUAUGUGCCCUCUGAGAUAGCAAUGCAGUGUCCUUUGGGUGCUGUGUUGUAUCGUGGAGAGACAGCGGAAUAUAUAACAAAAUCCGAGGAAGUGUAGCUAUAACAGGUCCGUGAUGCCCUUAGAUGUUCAGGGCUGCACGCGCGCUACAAUGGUGGCAACAGCAAGUGUCUGGAUCGAGAGAUUCGGGUAAUCUGUAAUUGCCACCGUGAUGGGGAUCGACGUUUGUAAAUACGUCGUGAAAGAGGAAUCCCUAGUACGUGCGAUUCAUGCAGAUCGCGCGGAUUGCGUCCCUGCCCUUUGUACACACCGCCCGUCGCUACUACCGAGUGAAUGGUGUCAUAAUGCCUUGGG
Molecule: ribosomal RNA, 1804 nt
Filed under: Myxobolus sp. z GAB-2023
Lineage: Eukaryota; Metazoa; Cnidaria; Myxozoa; Bivalvulida; Myxobolidae
Description: SSU rRNA
Rfam family: Eukaryotic small subunit ribosomal RNA
Source: RNAcentral